AGAGAUGAACCUUUAAUGAAUUUUUUUAAUUACCAAAAUACUAUCAUUCAUUUUAAAAAAUGACACCACCUCCACUUCCACAUCCAACUCCACCACUUGCACCACCACAUUCACUACCUCCACAACCACUGUCACUGCCACCACAUCCUCCUCCUCCUCAUCCUCCGCACCAUCACCAUCACCACCACCACCACCACCUCCAAAAUCUCCACAUCCACCACCACCUCCACAACCAACACCACCACCACCUCCACAACCAACAUCACCACCACCAUCAUGCGGCCACUGCCACCACCACCACCACUACCUCCUCCACAACAGCCAUCCCCACCACCACUACUACCACAACCACCAACUCCACCUUCAUCACCAACACCACCUCCACUCCAUCACCACCACCACCUCUUCCACAACAUCCAUCCCCACCACCACCACUACCACAACAACCAACUCCACCUUCACUCCAUCACCACCACUACCACCACAUGAUUAGUACAUAACACUUUCAACAUCAUGUCUAUUUUAGUCAUUAUUCACAGUUACAACAAUUUUAUAUUAAAAUUUACCAAAUAGUUUUCGCACUGCUUUUUGCACUAACAGCACUUUAAAAAUAUUGUUUACCAAACAUGGAGCUGC
RNAcentral lists this long non-coding RNA (636 nucleotides) under Prunus persica (peach). RNAcentral describes it as "long non-coding RNA (PPER_LNC000193)". The record is from RNAcentral. Lineage: Eukaryota; Viridiplantae; Streptophyta; Magnoliopsida; Rosales; Rosaceae.